AGAGCAAUAUUAUAUAUGUGCACACCUGAAUCAUUAUGUAAAAACCAUUUAAUAUUUUUAUUAUCCUUGUGCACAACUUGUUUGUAGCUUAACUUAUUAAGCUAUGAAUGCCUUUUAUUAUACACUACUAGAAUAUUAGGGAUAAUUAAGUAUCAAAUAAAAAUAACUUUCAGCAACGGAUCUCUUGGCUCUUGCAUCGAUGAAGAACACAGCGAAAUGUGAUAAGUAAUGUGAAUUGCAGAAUUCAGUGAAUCAUCGAAUCUUUGAAUGCAUCUUGCACUCCUUGGUACUCUGAGGAGUAUGCCUGUUUGAGUGUUAUAAUAUUAUCAACUACUUUGAUUUUAUCAAAAUGAAGUUGGAUUAUGAAGGCAUUUUAAAUGCAGACCAGUUAUGUUUGCUCCUUUAAAAUAUAUUCAAGGAUGCACUUAUCUUGGGGUAUUCAUCAAUAUAUGAUAAACUUACUACUAUAUUGUUGAUACCAAGUUUGUGUCCAAAAUAUAUGUUUAUAUAACAAGUUUUAACCUCAAAUCAGGUAGGAUUACCCGCUGAACUUAAGCAUAUCAAUAAGCGGAGGA
Molecule: ribosomal RNA, 575 nt
Rfam family: 5.8S ribosomal RNA (bases 165-318)